UAAAUACAAGAAUUUUGUGGUCCGAAAGGUUAAAAGGGAAGGCGGUGAAAAUCCGCUGCAGCCCCCGCUACUGUAAGCGAGGAUAGAGCCCUGAUAUACCACUGUUUGAUACCUGGUUUAAUUAAAAACCUGCUAGGUAUUGAACGGGAAGGUAGGGCAGUUGAUGAAUCGCAAGCCAGGAGACCUGCCAUAAGAUUUACAGAGUU
RNAcentral lists this non-coding RNA (206 nucleotides) under Tepidanaerobacter acetatoxydans. RNAcentral also lists the same sequence under 1 other name. Lineage: Bacteria; Bacillati; Bacillota; Clostridia; Thermosediminibacterales; Tepidanaerobacteraceae. The record is from RNAcentral.